GAUGAACGCUAGCGGCAGGCUUAACACAUGCAAGUCGAGGGGCAGCACGGGUAGCAAUACCUGGUGGCGACCGGCGCAAGGGUGCGUAACGCGUGAGCAACAUGCCCUAUACAGGGGGAUAAUCCAGGGAAACUUGGUCUAAUAUCCCAUAGUAUUUAGAGGAGGCAUCUUCUAUAAAUUAAAGCUUCGGUGGUAUAGGAUUGGCUCGCGUGACAUUAGCUAGAUGGUGAGGUAACGGCUCACCAUGGCAAUGAUGUCUAGGGGUUCUGAGAGGAAGGCCCCCCACACUGGGACUGAGACACGGCCCAGACUCCUACGGGAGGCAGCAGUGAGGAAUAUUGGACAAUGGAUGGAAAUCUGAUCCAGCCAUGCCGCGUGCAGGAAGACGGCCUAUGGGUUAAACUGCUUUUAUAUGGGAGCAAUAAGGUUUACGCGUAGACCGAUGAGAGUACCAUAUGAAUAGCAUCGGCUAA
RNAcentral lists this ribosomal RNA (473 nucleotides) under uncultured bacterium. RNAcentral describes it as "bacterial SSU rRNA". It matches the Rfam family "Bacterial small subunit ribosomal RNA", at positions 28 to 500 of the family's 1533-position model. The record is from RNAcentral.